RNAcentral lists this ribosomal RNA (256 nucleotides) under uncultured bacterium. RNAcentral's name for it is "partial 16S ribosomal RNA". It matches the Rfam family "Bacterial small subunit ribosomal RNA", at positions 521 to 776 of the family's 1533-position model. The record is from RNAcentral.
UAAUACAGAGGUCUCAAGCGUUGUUCGGAAUCACUGGGCGUAAAGGGUACGUAGGCUGCAUCAUAAGUCGGGCGUGAAAGGCAGGGGCUCAACCCCUGGAGUGCGCUUGAUACUGUGAUGCUAGAGUCAUGGAGGGGGAACCGGAACUCUCGGUGUAGCAGUGAAAUGCGUAGAUAUCGAGAAGAACACUCGUGGCGAAGGCGGGUUCCUGGACAUGUACUGACGCUGAGGUACGAAGGCUAGGGGAGCGAAAGGG